CGCGAGGGAAAAGUUUAGGCUUGCGUGGGAAAGGUUGUUAAUGAAGAACCCGGAAAUGUGCCAUCUUGUUUCCGCUUUGCGGAGAUCAACAACAGAGGUCGGCUAAUUCCGGGCCUCAUGGCUCCGGACAAUUUAAACUCAAAUUCUCUCAGUCCAUUUUUAAGGCAUACUGUUCUGAAGAGAACAUUUAAUGUAACUCUGCCAAAUUCUUUCUUCAUUGAUAGAGAAAACACUCCUACUCUAGAACAAAAGCCAAACAAAACACCGAGGAGGCAAAAUAGAAUCUUCUAAAUGAUAUACCCAAAGGUAAUAUCUAUUAAUAUAAAGGUAAGCUGACACUUCUCUCACAAAGAAGUACUUCCAUGUUGAUGAUGUCCUCCAUCAGCUGCUCACAGGAACAUAAUUGCUCUUCUAACAUCUAGGGAUAGAAAAUCUGUUCUUAUAUGAUAUUUGUUUUCUCAGAAAAAUUUUCCUAUUACAAAAGCAGUAUAUAUAUUCAUUGCAUUCUUUCUAAGCAUAUACUACUGAUGCAUCCAUAUAAAAUAUAAUGCUGAAUAAAGACAUCUGAUGAAAAGCCUUUCUUUUUCACUUUAGAGUCUCAUUCUCUAACCAGAGAAUGCAAUUACUUUCCAAAUACCAGGCAUGCUGAAACAAAGUGAAUGACGUUAUUAUGCAUAUGUGUUAUUCCCUUGACUUAUUUUCUUACUCUUCAUUUCUCUGAAAUGCUAAAAGUAGUAUAUAAAAAUCAUAAAAGGAAUAUUCAGUAUGUUUUACUUUGUAUAACUUUUAUGUGCAAAUAGGAAAGCAAAGAAAAAAAUGAUUAAACUGUCGCAAUAUACUGAAUUAUCUUCAAUAGCCUACAUAUUUGGGGAAGAUGGGUAAAUUUAAAUAUCACAUCCCAAAAUAUUUGGCAUUAAUGCUCUACUUCUAACAUGGUCUAGUAAAACAAAUUAGUUGGAGAUAAGGAUUUAUCAAUAGUAUAUAAUGUUUCUAGAGGAGCAUAUCCUCUUUGAAAUUUUAACAAAUGCUAUGGAAACUUCAUUGAUGAAAGUGGAUUUAUGCGAGCAAUCUAAAAUUAACAUAAUUCUAAAAUAUUCAAGUGCUCCUGAAAUUUUCAAUGUAUUCUGAUUUAAGAAAACUGUAUCUAAAAUAUCCAUUAAUGUGCCUAAAAUUCAAGAUUGGAACAAUAAAACCCCCCCAAAUGGCCAAUAAAUACUUGCUCUUCCAUUGAAUUGGAUGAAUUGAAUUGAAUUGAAUUGUGAAAACAGCACAGAACUGGUGGUUGAUGGAGA
This 1292-nucleotide long non-coding RNA is filed under the name Rhinopithecus bieti (black snub-nosed monkey). RNAcentral describes it as "lncRNA (ENSRBIG00000046086.1)". The record is from RNAcentral. Lineage: Eukaryota; Metazoa; Chordata; Mammalia; Primates; Cercopithecidae.